RNAcentral lists this long non-coding RNA (308 nucleotides) under Fukomys damarensis (Damara mole-rat). RNAcentral describes it as "lncRNA (ENSFDAG00000032273.1)". Lineage: Eukaryota; Metazoa; Chordata; Mammalia; Rodentia; Bathyergidae. The record is from RNAcentral.
UCCUCUGCAGUGCCUGAUGGAAUUUCUCUGGCCCCGUCAGCCUGAGGAGAUAGCUCAACAAUCUGGGUGCUGGUUCACAGCAUUCCCCGCUGUGGUAAGAGCACGGAUUUAUAAGAGGUGCUCAAAUCCCCAAAGCACAGCACCCCGUCUCCCGAGCAGGUUCAGCUAAAGCGUCUGAGACAGGAGACCCCGAGUCUCAUUCUCCUCAAAUACGAGUGCGUCCCCACAAAGUUGGCUUGUGGCAAGGUGCCAACCCACCCGAUUUAACACCCUCUUCCUCCCGGAGGACGGACGCCUGUACAUGGCGA